This 181-nucleotide non-coding RNA is filed under the name Virgibacillus litoralis. RNAcentral describes it as "6S RNA". It matches the Rfam family "6S / SsrS RNA". From Rfam's summary of the family: E. coli 6S RNA was the first non coding RNA to be sequenced, but its function was unknown until recently. It consists of 184 nucleotides that fold into an extended hairpin structure with a large single-stranded internal bulge. Lineage: Bacteria; Bacillati; Bacillota; Bacilli; Caryophanales; Bacillaceae. RNAcentral also lists the same sequence under 1 other name. The record is from RNAcentral.
UAUAAGCUGCAAUGUACGUAUUAAUUUUAGUUUAACCUCUAACAUAUGAAUAGGGAGUUUUACAUCGAAACUAUAAUGUCGUGCCUCGAUAGUGUGGAAGACAGGAAGGUUUCUGCAAACACCCACUUUGCGAAGUGGUGGUUUAAACUUUUUAUGAAAAUACGGCAAUUGUGGCUGAUAA